GGCUUAGACAAAGUAACAUUUUGAAAACGAUGACGAAGUUCGGCAAUAAAAAAAUGUAUGGGAUGACAUAAGCCUUCGCUAAAUCACGUGAUCGAUCGAGAUCGAUAACAAAAUUGGUAGACAAUGUUUACAUUCAUGUCGAAAACGAAACGAAAUCGUCAAUUAGCGAAUUGUUUAUUCGCCUAUUUCAAUACAAAUGCGUAGCCAAGCGGCACUUUUGACGUUCGCUUUCUCUUCGGGAGCGAUCGUUCGAUUCGACAUGUGUUCGCCAUAAUAACGAAAGCUUGGGGGCUGUCGAUAUCGCUACAAAAUGGCCGAAAAUUACAGUCAGCUGUGAUUUGUGUACAAGGGCUACGUUGCGUUAAUACAGUUUUAUUUAUAUAAAAAUGCAUUCUUUACGUUUAUUGUGGGCUGCACAUAAUGAGAAUACCUGGGUGAGGCGUCAAAGGCGAUUUUCAUCAAGAAGACAUAUGGAAACGAUUGAAGAUAUGCCGGAAUUGUUGUUUAUACAACAUUUCAGGCUUGAUAAAAAAACUUUUCGACGAUUAUGCGACGAACUAAAAAGAUAUACUGGAUUGAAAGGAUCCAAUGAAAUUUCCCUGGAAGUAAAGAUUCCAUAUAAGACAUAAUUUGCCUGGAAUUAUUGGGUGCAUUAAUUGUACCCAUAUAGCUAUAGUAAGACCAGAGGAGGAUGAAUAUUCAUUUUUUAAUAGAAAAGGAUAUCAUUCAUUAAAUGUUCAAGUGAUAUGCGAUUUCGAUUUAAAAAUAGUUAAUGUCAAUCCAAAAUUUGGUGGUGCUACACAUGACUCCCACAUAUGGUCCGCUAGUCAUGUAGAGACUUUCAUGCGAGGGCUUCAUGAAAGUGGUGAACAUGUUUGGUUAUUAGGGGAUUCUGGAUAUCCACAGCGACCUUGGUUGAUGACGCUUAUACUAGAUGCUGAACAAGGGUCCCAAGAAGAAAUAUAUACCAGACGUCAUGUGCAAGCCAGAUCUCGCAUAGAACGAUGUUUUGGAUUACUGAAGGCUCGUUGGAGGUGUAUGCUUUGACACCGUGUUCUUCACUAUCAGCCUUACGUGGCUAGCAGAAUUAUUAACGCAUGUUGUGUAUUGCAUAAUAUUGCAAUACAUGCUAAACUACCUGCUCCAACAGAUAUGCCAGCUGAGGCUCUUGAUGGUAGUGAAGAUCAAAGUAUACAGCAUAACACCUCUACAACCAACACUAAUCAAAACGAGUUAAUUCGAGGAAGGGCUAUGUGAAAUUAUCUAGUCAGUAGAAUGCAGCAUUCUACUGAAUAGAUAA
Amyelois transitella is the source of this 1300-nucleotide long non-coding RNA. RefSeq lists it as uncharacterized. The record is from RefSeq and is a predicted model, not a curated record. The transcript has 4 exons. Lineage: Eukaryota; Metazoa; Arthropoda; Insecta; Lepidoptera; Pyralidae.